UACGUAGGAGACGAACGUUAUCCGGAUUUACUGGGCGUAAAGAGGGUGCAGGCGGUACUCCAAGUCGGGUGUGAAAUCUCCCAAUUUAAUUGGGAGGGGUCAUCCGAUACUGGGGGACUUGAGGGCAGCAGAGGGAGGUGGAAUUCCCGGUGUAGUGGUGAAAUGCGUAGAUAUCGGGAGGAACACCAGUGGCGAAGGCGACUUCCUGGGCUGUUCCUGACGCUGAGGCCCGAAAGCGUGGGGAG
RNAcentral lists this ribosomal RNA (245 nucleotides) under uncultured Chloroflexota bacterium. RNAcentral describes it as "uncultured Chloroflexi bacterium partial 16S ribosomal RNA". It matches the Rfam family "Bacterial small subunit ribosomal RNA", at positions 524 to 768 of the family's 1533-position model. Lineage: Bacteria; Bacillati; Chloroflexota. The record is from RNAcentral.